RNAcentral lists this ribosomal RNA (253 nucleotides) under uncultured bacterium. RNAcentral's name for it is "partial 16S ribosomal RNA". It matches the Rfam family "Bacterial small subunit ribosomal RNA", at positions 524 to 776 of the family's 1533-position model. The record is from RNAcentral.
AACGUAGGAGGCGAGCGUUAUCCGGAGUUACUGGGCGUAAAGCGCGCGCAGGCGGUUCGUUAAGUCGGGCGUGAAAGCCCCAUGCUAAACGUGGGGAGGACGAACGAUACUGGCGAACUAGAGUAGAGCAGAGGGACAUGGAAUUCCGGGUGUAGCGGUGAAAUGUGCAGAUAUCCGGAGGAACACCAGAGGUGAAAACGGUGUCCUGGGCUCAUACUGACGCUGAGGUGCGAAAGCGUGGGGAGCGAACGGG